Molecule: ribosomal RNA, 433 nt
Filed under: uncultured bacterium
Lineage: Bacteria
Description: partial 16S ribosomal RNA
Rfam family: Bacterial small subunit ribosomal RNA
Source: RNAcentral
AACGAACGCUGGCGGCAUGCCUAACACAUGCAAGUCGAACGAGACCUUCGGGCCUAGUGGCGCAGGGGUGCGUAACGCGUGGGAACCUGCCCUUAGGUUCGGUAUAACUCCCCGAAGGGGGUGCUAAUAACGGAUAAGGUCUUAGGACCAAAGAGUUAUCGCCUUUGGAUGGGCCCGCGUUGGAUUAGCUAGUUGGUAGGGUAAAAGCCUGCCAAGGCGACGAUCCAUAGCUGGUCUGAGAGGAGGAUCAGCUACACUGGGACUGAGACACGGCCCAGACUCCUACGGGGGGCAGCAGUGGGGAAUAUUGGACGAUGAGCGAAAGUCUGAUACAGCAAUGCCGCGUGAGUGAUGAAGGCCUUAGGGUUGUAAAGCUCUUUUACCCGGGAUGAUAAUGACAGUACCGGGAGAAUAAGCGCCGGCUAACUACGUG